AGGCAUGCAAGUCGAGCGAUCGUAGCAAUACGGGAGCGGCAAACGGGGUAGGAAUACAUCGGAACGUACCUUUUGGUUGAGAAUAGCGUUGGGAAACUGACGGUAAUACUCAAUAAAGUCGAGAGACCAAAGGUUUACUGCCGGAAGAGCGGCCGAUGCGAUAUUAGGUAGUUGGUGGGGUAAUGGCCUACCAAGCCUGAGAUGUCUAGGGGGUGUGAGAGCAUGGCCCCCACCACUGGGACUGAGAUACUGCCCAGACACCUACGGGUGGCUGCAGUCGAGGAUCUUCGGCAAUGGGCGCAAGCCUGACCGAGCGACGCCGCGUGUGGGAUGAAGGCCCUUGGGUUGUAAACCACUGUCGAGGGGAAUGAAAUGCGUGUGGGUUAUCCCAUGCGUUGACGGAACCCUGGAGGAAGCACGGGCUAAGUUCGUGCCAGCAGCCGCGGUAAUACGAACUGUGCAA
This 463-nucleotide ribosomal RNA is filed under the name uncultured bacterium. RNAcentral describes it as "bacterial SSU rRNA". It matches the Rfam family "Bacterial small subunit ribosomal RNA", at positions 51 to 537 of the family's 1533-position model. The record is from RNAcentral.